This is a long non-coding RNA of Bombyx mori (domestic silkworm), 1343 nucleotides long. RefSeq lists it as uncharacterized. The record is from RefSeq and is a predicted model, not a curated record. NCBI's taxonomy places the organism in Eukaryota, Metazoa, Arthropoda, Insecta, Lepidoptera, Bombycidae. The transcript has 2 exons.
AGUGAAGUUGUGUGAUUUGUUUUAUUUUAUCUCAUUAGUGUUUCUUCAGGUUUAAAUGUGUAAUAACGGUGGUUUCUUAACUAUUUAGUAUCUGUAAAGUGCACAAAUGUGGGAAAAUAAAACAAAGCUACUGAACGUAACUUCUCGGGAUCUUCCAAAAAGUCCAGUGUAAAAGUCUCAGUAAAUGACCACCAUUUUACUGAGAUUAUACUUCAUCCCAUAUCAUCUCAUCACAUUUCAUUUCGUUUUCAUUUCACUUCAUGUCAUCUUUCAUAAUAUUUAACUUCAUUUCAUCUCAUAAUAUCAUUUUCAUAUAAAAAGUUACGUAUUUUUUUAAUUAAAAUAAGACUUGACCUAAAGGUCUUAGUUACCAGGUCAUAAAAUCCCAUAUAAAAAUGACUUUUAGUGAUUCCCAUAGAGUUCUUAUUAACUCCAUGGUGAUUCCUUUCAACAUUCUAAAUGAAAAUCGAUUCUGAUCUAAGAAUGAUUUGCAAAUAUGUUAUCAAACCGAGAUGGUUAACACUGUGCAACAUGAAUUUUCCUGCCGAUGCAAAUUUUCAAAAAAAGUGGAUAGUUGCAGUUAAGUAAAUGCAGAAAAGACAGGAAUAUAACUGGAUGCCUGUGGAAACCAGCAGAGUAUGCUCUAUUCACGCUAUCAAACAUGCUGGACGCUAGCCUUCAAUUGCCAGAAACAGUGGAGCAAACUGUAGGCUAUAUAGCCGGCACUGUAAGCCGAAAACUGCAAGCGAAAAUCAAUUGUCCAGAAUGCUUAUCAUUGCUACCUGUUAAUGAAAAAUUGAAUUUUCACAAUCUAAUUAGUUUGAAAGAUUUCGGUGGACUCUCGUACCCAUCUGUGGUGUUGUAUAAAAUAUGCACACGCACAGAAACACUAAUAAGACAGAAAAUAAAAAUACGUGAUAACGGAAAAUCACUUACUCGAACAAUUAUUCUGUCAGUAAUAUCUACAGUGUUUUUCUAAAAUAAUUGACAAUGAAGAUAUUCUGCGCUUACUAAAAAACAGUCACCAGACAAAUAAUGACCAUUUAAUUUAUUAUAUAAAAUGUGUAAUGGUUGAAUUUCUCAGAAUCCGUUCUUUACUCUUUAUUCUACACACACAGUUAAUACAAUAUAAUAAUUGCGAAAAGUUAUAAAAAUUGCGAGAUUAACUCAACAAUUGAGUUAUCUACCAGCUACCCGUUCGUAAAGAGGAUCGUCCGUCUUCCCUACAUUGCGAAACAAUUAUUUUUUAAUGUCUUCUAGGCAAAAACUUAAUAAAUUAAAAAUAUUUCGAGGGACGUAGAGUUUAUUACAAAAAAAACAAAUAUAUAAAAAUUAUACAAUUA